Molecule: ribosomal RNA, 497 nt
Filed under: uncultured bacterium
Lineage: Bacteria
Description: partial 16S ribosomal RNA
Rfam family: Bacterial small subunit ribosomal RNA
Source: RNAcentral
GAUGAACGCUGGCGGCGUGCCUAAUACAUGCAAGUCGAGCGAACAGACGAGGAGCUUGCUCCUUCGACGUUAGCGGCGGACGGGUGAGUAACACGUAGGUAACCUACCUAUAAGACUGGGAUAACUUCGGGAAACCGGAGCUAAUACCGGAUAAUAUUUCGAACCGCAUGGUUCGAUAGUGAAAGAUGGCUUUGCUAUCACUUAUAGAUGGACCUGCGCCGUAUUAGCUAGUUGGUAAGGUAACGGCUUACCAAGGCAACGAUACGUAGCCGACCUGAGAGGGUGAUCGGCCACACUGGAACUGAGACACGGUCCAGACUCCUACGGGAGGCAGCAGUAGGGAAUCUUCCGCAAUGGGCGAAAGCCUGACGGAGCAACGCCGCGUGAGUGAUGAGGGUCUUCGGAUCGUAAAACUCUGUUAUUAGGGAAGAACAAACGUGUAAGUAACUGUGCACGUCUUGACGGUACCUAAUCAGAAAGCCACGGCUAACUACGUG